CACACCAAUAUUAGGGUGGAAGCAUUCUAUAUGUACUUACAUAUGAAUGUAUAUAUUUCUAUAUGUUAUUUAAAUCUAGAAUUGCAUGCUACUUCAUCCUCUUUUAAAAACGCGAUAUAAUCGAAGCGAAAUGACGGCAGCUCAGAAUGGCAGUUAUAAGCACGUCACGGUAAUAAAUUACAAAUCGAAUCUUAUGAGUCUGGCAUACCAACUAAUUUAAAUCGAUUGUGAUGUAUAUAAAGUGACUGGUACGAAAAUUGGUAUAUAGUGGAAGUAAACAAGAAAUAAUGGCAAUUAUGUUUAAGAAGCAGCUGAGAAAGUUUUGUUUGGUUUGAGUGCAAUUAAAAUUGCGAAUUGGUACAUUGUUUGGAAAAAUGUCUUAAAUUGGAAAGUAGUUUACCAUUAUAAAAAUAAACGUAUAAUAAUAAAGAAUGGUGAAAUUUAUUUGCAACACACAUAUCUGCGUAUACCAUAAGUUAAUAAUAAACAAGAACAACUUUGGCUGCAUCGAAACUAUAAAACCAUUUACAAAUAUAAAAUAUUUCAUAUAAGGACUUGAAUUUGACCGGUCAAUUUGUAUGGCAGCUCUAAGCUGUAGUAGUCCGAUCUGAACGAUUCUUCAGAGAUUGUACCGUUUCGAGCUAAAUUUCGUGAAUACCCCAUUUCUAGUCAAAUAAGAAAAUUUUAACACAAGAACUUGACCUUGAUCGAUAAGUUUGUGUGGCAGCUAUAAGCUGUAGUGGUUCGAUAUCGGCGGUACCGACAAAUGAGCAGCUUCCUUGGAAGAAAAGGAUGUGUGCGAAAUUUCAGAUAGAUAUCUCAAAAACUGAGGAACUAAAUUGACUCAGCUCGACAUGCUGAUCAUUUAUAUAUAUAAUAUAUUUGAUAAGUCCCCAACGUUUCAUACUGGAUGUUAAAUACUUUGGCAAACUUAAUAUACCCUCUUCAGAGUAUAAAAAUAUGUGUUGGGAAAAAGAUAUUUUAUCAUUUCUACUCUGUAAACUUACUGUAAUGUCAUAAGUGAAGAUGUUGCCCCAUCUGCUGCCGAUGAAAGCUGAACCCCAUUGACCCUCAAUACAUUGCAAGGGCUCUUGUAGGUAUACGGAUUGUAUGUCCAAAGCAAAGUUCUGUAGUAAAGAGAAAUUAAAUACAAUAUGGUUUAAUUAUAUCAUAAUUAAUUUUUAUAGAACUACAUUUCUAAUACUUUUAUCCUACUUAUUUAAGAAAUAAAAUGGUAUAAGUGUCAAUAUUCUGCGUCACCCUAUUUUUAUAAUCUUAUGAAUGUCGUUUAAUCAGAAUUAUUUUUUGUGAGAUAACGGAAAGUAUUCCAUUAUGUUACUUAUUUUUCUAUGAAGCCAGCAAUUUUCUCAAACUCUGAAAAUACUAUAACUGUAAAAUGUGGAAGCUCUCCUUAUAAUGAAUUAAUUUCGAGGACACAGCUUUUUCGUACUUGAAAACUUCCUGUAAGCUAUUCGAAAUUUAAGCACUGUAUGGAAUGCCUAUCUUAAACCAGAAAAAAUUGCCAACUGUUUUAGAAAGAGCAUUGUUAUGAAGACGACCUUCUUUCAUUAUCGGAUUUGGCUGCAUUGGAGCCUUCAGUUAAAAAAGUAGCAAAUAUCGAAGCAUCAUUUGAGGACUACGUCAAUGUUGAUAUUAGUGCGCAGAUCUGCGACAGAGCGUCCGAAGAAGAUAUCUUCAGCGACGUUCUAGAAAGUCGUCGAGUUCCAUCUGUACUUGCUAACGAUGAAAACGAUUUGGUUGUUGAAGAAGAAUUGGCUGAUACUGAUGAGGCAUUACCUACAUUAUCACAAGUUUCUUCAUUUAUUAACUUAAUUAGAACCUUUGUGGAGAUGAGGUGUUACGUAACGAUUAAUAUUCUCAACUCUUUAAAUGAUUUGGAAGGUUUUGUUAAAAAUGAAAAAUGGAAGAGUGUAAUCCAAACUAAACGUACUGAUUAUUUUUAAUAAAAAUACUAAAAAAAAA
Molecule: non-coding RNA, 1983 nt
Organism: Bactrocera oleae (olive fruit fly)
Lineage: Eukaryota; Metazoa; Arthropoda; Insecta; Diptera; Tephritidae
Source: RefSeq, a predicted model, not a curated record